GAAACCGCCGUCGUGUCGUCUCCUCGAAGAUUCCUGAAGAUCCACUCAGGCUGCGGGAUCUGGUUUCUGACAUCCUGAGACAAGUCAAUGCAGUCAGGAGGAGGAGAGAGCAGCAGGAUGUACGCUCACUGAGCCAGAACUCAGACAGCAUAAACAAAAAUCUCUCACAGCACAGACUUUAUAAUAGAUCCCGGUGGUUUGAUUCCCCACCUCCCUCCCAGACACCAUGACGUCCUCUAUGCUCCGACGACAGCUCAAAAACCUGGUCCAGAACUACUC
Molecule: non-coding RNA, 279 nt
Organism: Plectropomus leopardus (leopard coralgrouper)
Lineage: Eukaryota; Metazoa; Chordata; Actinopteri; Perciformes; Serranidae
Source: RefSeq, a predicted model, not a curated record